Daphnia magna is the source of this 1071-nucleotide long non-coding RNA. RefSeq lists it as uncharacterized. The transcript is spliced from 2 exons. The record is from RefSeq and is a predicted model, not a curated record. NCBI's taxonomy places the organism in Eukaryota, Metazoa, Arthropoda, Branchiopoda, Diplostraca, Daphniidae.
CUUUCUUCCUACUCGAGUUUCAAUACUUACCUAUCAUACUUAAGGCUUCAUCAAGUCUUUUAUACUGUCUCAUAGUUGAUCCAAAAGAGCUACAGCUCAUUAUGGCGUCAGUUUGGCUUUAAUGCUAAAUUUCGCAAACACGCUGAACUAGAUUGACAAUAAUAAAAAAUGAACUUUAUUCGUCACUUGCUGUGUUACUUAUUAUUAAGAAUCUCAAUUAUGCUAAACAAAUUUUGACACGCAAAAAAUGCUACAAUAGAAACGGAAACGGUUGCACUCACGGAUCGUGACUGGAACAAGUAUAGCAAUCCCGCCAUAAGACCUAGAAGUUACUCUUCGGUUGCCACCAGGUGGCAUAUGAGUAGCAUAUUUCUAUGAAAUCUUUUGAUGGCUGUCUGCUGUCUGCUUAAGUGGGCAUUGAUGGCAUGUUAAUUUUUAAAAAGUUUGUACUUCAAAUAUAGGAACUAUCUUGCUUUCGGCGGAUUAUUCUCAGUUGGAACUUCGAAUAUUGGCGCAUUUGAGCGAAGACGCAGGUCUUUGUUCUGUUCUAGCCAACCCGAUGGCGAUGUUUUCCGCGGCAUUGUAUCGGUUUGGAAAAAGAAAAAGCAAGAAGAAGUCAGAGACGAUGAAAGGCAAAAAGCGAAACAAAUCUGCUACGGGAUUGUUUACGGCAUGGGAUGUAAAAGUUUAGCCGAACAGUUGGAAGUCGGGGAAGAAGAGGCUCAACUCUUUGUGAACACUUUCCACGCAAGGUAUCCUAGUCAACCGAUGUGGAAAAAAAUUCAGGAGGAAAAUGAAUUGAGCUGCUGACAUUGGCCUAUUCUGGAAUACAUCAGUUUGCAUCAUAAUCAGAAAGGUAAUAUUGCCUCUUUUAAUUCCUUAUCCAGUUGUAGCUAUGACUUGAGUCUGCGUAGAUAAAUUUCUUAGCUUUAUUUGAAAUUUGAGGCUGUGAUAACUUUUUGAAAACGACAAGAUAUUUUCUAAACUAAAGCUUCACUAGAUCUACCCAAAAGCAAGCAAUCUUUAUUUCAACAUAUAGAUAGCAAUUACUUGUUACACCAAAAGUACCCC